RNAcentral lists this ribosomal RNA (274 nucleotides) under uncultured bacterium. RNAcentral's name for it is "partial 16S ribosomal RNA". It matches the Rfam family "Bacterial small subunit ribosomal RNA", at positions 523 to 796 of the family's 1533-position model. The record is from RNAcentral.
CUACGGAGGGUGCAAGCGUUACUCGGAAUCACAGGGCGUAAAGCGCGCGCAGGCGGGCUGAUAAGUUGGAUGUGAAAGCCUACGGCUCAACCGUAGAACUGCAUCCAAAACUGUCAGUCUAGAGUGUGGGAGAGGAAGAUGGAAUUAGUUGUGUAGGGGUAAAAUCCGUAGAGAUAACUAGGAAUACCAAAAGCGAAGGCAAUCUUCUGGAACACUACUGACGCUGAGGUGCGAAGGCGUGGGGAGCAAACAGGAUUAGAAACCCGGGUAGUCC